AUUGAACGCUAGCGGGAUGCCUUACACAUGCAAGUCGAACGGAUUGGCGAACGGGUGAGUAAUGUAUCGGAACGUGCCCAGUAGCGGGGGAUAACUACGCCAAAGCGUAGCUAAUACCGCAUACUAUUGGAGCGGCCGAUAUCGGAUUAUCUAGUUGUUGGGGUAACGGCUCACCAAGGCCACGAUCCGUAGCUGGUUUGAGAGGAUGACCAGCCACACUGGGACUGAGACACGGCCCAGACUCCUACGGGAGGCAGCAGUGGGGAAUUUUGGACAAUGGGGGAAAGCCUGAUCCAGCCAUCCCGCGUGUGCGAUGAAGGCCUUCGGGUUGUAAAGAACUUUUGGCAGGAAAGCGGUACCUGCAGAAUAAGCACCGGCUAACUACGUGCCAGCCGCCGCGGUAAUUC
This 407-nucleotide ribosomal RNA is filed under the name uncultured bacterium. RNAcentral describes it as "partial 16S ribosomal RNA". It matches the Rfam family "Bacterial small subunit ribosomal RNA", at positions 30 to 526 of the family's 1533-position model. The record is from RNAcentral.